This 640-nucleotide non-coding RNA is filed under the name Amborella trichopoda. RNAcentral's name for it is "rRNA SSU_rRNA_eukarya". It matches the Rfam family "Eukaryotic small subunit ribosomal RNA". The record is from Rfam by way of RNAcentral. Lineage: Eukaryota; Viridiplantae; Streptophyta; Magnoliopsida; Amborellales; Amborellaceae.
UACCUGGUUGAUCCUGCCAGUAGUCAUAUGCUUGUCUAAAAGAUUAAGCCAUGCAUGUGUAAGUAUGAAUUAAUUCAGACUGUGAAACUACGAAUGACUCAUUAAAUCAGUUAUAGUUUGUUUGAUGGUACCUGCAACUCGGAUAACCGUAGUAAUUCUAGAGCUAGUACGUGUAAGAAAUCCUGACCUCUAGAAGGGAUGCAUUUAUUAGAUAAAAGGCCAGCGCGAGCUUUACCCGAUGUUUUGGUGAAUCAUGAUAACUCGACAGAUCGCACGCCCAUUGUGCUGGCGACGCAUCAUUCAAAUUUCUACCAUAUCAACUUUCGAUGGUGGGAUACGAGCCUACCAUGGUGGUGACGGGUGACGGAGGAUUAAGAGGGACAGUCAGAGGCAUUUGUAGUUCAUAGUCAUAGGUGAAAUUUUUGGAUUUAUGAAAGACGAACCACUGCGAAAGCAUUUGCCAAGGAUGUUUUCAUUAAUCAAGAACGAAAGUUGGGGGCUCGAAGACGAUCAGAUACCGUCCUAGUCUCAACCAUAAACGAUGCCAACUAGGGAUCGAUAGAUGUUGCUCUUAGGACUCUAUUGGCACCUUAUGAGAAAUCAAAGUCCUUGGGUUCCUAUUUCUUCUGCACUAUGAAUG